Homo sapiens (human) is the source of this 9208-nucleotide long non-coding RNA. RefSeq lists it as uncharacterized. Lineage: Eukaryota; Metazoa; Chordata; Mammalia; Primates; Hominidae. The transcript is spliced from 4 exons. The record is from RefSeq and is a predicted model, not a curated record.
AGAUGGAGUCUUGCUCUUGUCACCCAGGCUAGAGUGCAAUGGCACGAUCUCUGCUCACUGAAACCUCUGCCUCCCAGUUUCAAGCGAUUCUCCUGCCUCAGCCUCCCAAGUGGGAUUAUAGGUGCCUGCCACCACACCUGGCUAAUUUUUGUAUUUUUAGUAGAGACAGGGUUUCGCCAUGUUGGCCAGGCUGGUCUCGAACUCCUGACCUCGUGAUCCACCCGCCUUGGCCUCCCAAAGUGCUGGGAUUAUAGGCGUGAGCCACCAUGCCCAACCAGCAAAGGGUAUUAUUAGUGAGGUAUGUGUUAAUGAGAAGAGGGAAAGUAAUAACCUUCUUUUUGUGUUCUUGCUUUUCACAGUGAUAUCUGUUAACCAAAUAGGGCUUUCUAGGCAAUGCACAUGUGUCAAAGAUUGUAAUUCAAGACUAGAGGAGAAGGCAGCACAGGCAAAGGUGAGGAUGAAAGGGGAAUUUUUAUAGUCCAUCAAGAUAUGAAUACUGGCAUCUCACUUUUUAUGGAGAAAAAACAGAAAUGAUGAUACUAUGUAAAAAUUUUCAAUUGUCACACAUGAAAAGACUAGAAAUAAAUGUAAUGUACCAAAUGGGUUAAGUUUACACAUACAUUUAAGUCACGAGCCCUCUUUUCCUUCUAAUUUUAUACACUUUCCAAAUAUCCUGAGUACAUAUAACUUUUAUUUUCCUUUCUUUAUAAAAGAUUUAUUUUUGAUGAGGGUAGCACAUUUUUAUUGUGCACAAUUUAGAAAUUUGAAGCAGUAUGAAGAAUGCAGGGAAAUCUCUUAGCCCACCACACAGAGAAUCACUUGUCCUGGAGACCCUGAGCAUUGUCAGCCUCACUCACGUCCCCUUGUUCCUAAGUGGUCAUUUUCUCUACCGAGUUCUGGAAUUAUGAAGGAAGUAACCAUAUCUACUGCAUAAGGGUCUUGUAAGGAUUGAAUGAUUGAAUUUAUUGCACAGUGCCUGCAUGAAGAAAGAUUCUCAUGUUGCUAAGAUUUCUUGCACCGCUCUUAAGCUUCUGAUUACGCAGAAGCUGGAUUAACUAUCUCACAGUAGCAGGGCAGACAGUAGCAUGGCAGACAGCAUGAAGCAGAGACCUAAAAGUCCUGUUUCUGAGUCACCACCAGAGAAAGACGAAUGAUCAAAAGAACAAUGAACAAGUACAGGAUAACUGGAUCCACAGGAAGAGACUUAAUUUUAGAGUUGGUUUGGCAUAAAAAGAGCAGUACCUUUCAUGGGACCAGGAAGUCUCCAUGAGAAUUGGAAGUUUGAACAACGAAUGGAUGCAAAAUAGAGCCUGCUGCCAAAAGAGAGGUGGGUGUGGGGGUGUACAGGGCAGAAUAUAUAUGAUACAUAAAUCAUAUCUCCAAAUCUUUAAUGAGUACAACUUUCACUUAUUCAUGUUCCAUCAGAUAAGAUUAAAAUUUUCCAUUAAAAAAUUUAUUUCAUUGAAUUGUUUAACCAAUAUUCAUUUUAUGUUCAAAGGCCAGUAUAGCUUUCACAAAGCGACAGAAGCCUGUAGCCCAUAUAUAGAUAGCAUUUAAUCCAUAUGUGAGAAUUCAGGAGCAUUCCAGGAGGCAUCCCAGAUUUCUCCCAAAUGUGAUCUGGCAUGUUCAAUUUACAUACUCAUAAAAAUUCACUCAUCCUCGGAAAAUGUAAAACACACUUAAGUAUGAUGACCAGAUAGAUGAAUGCUUAUUGUUUUUUUUUUACAUGAAAAAUAAAAGAGCACAUGAUUUUUAAAUGUCCAGAACUCUCAUUACUUGGGCUUUGGUGUUUAUUUUGAUGAAAGAAUCAAUAUUAAUAGUGUAUUGGGCAUUAGCAAGGGAAAAAAGGUCAUGAGGAUUGCAGCUCAGAAGCUGAUAUCUCUGAAAUCAGAGAAAAGGCGUUUAAGGUGAUCAAGAUUUCCUUUUCUCCAAAACCCCUCAGGAAAGUGAGGUCCAAAAAAACCUCAGGAAGUUAGAUAACUUCCUGAUCCUCAGUUUCUCUCCUGCAAAAAAAAAAAAAAAAAAAAAAAAAGGUUAUUAUCUAUAACUUACAGAGAUGUUGUAAGGAAUAAAAUAAUACACUUGAAGUGCUUAGCAUGUGGUGUAACACAUAGUAGGCCCUCCAGUGUGUAUCUACCAACCCAUUAACUAGCAGUGUGGUGACUAGCAAUUGGGAAAUGUUGAUAAUGGGUUUUCUUUCUGUCUAGGUCACGGAACAAAAUGUAUGCAAUAAUUCCACAUCUGUCACUUAAAUAAAAUACAUCAGCAGGUUGAGAAAUCUAACUUGGUGAUUUUUACUGAAUAAAAUUCUAUAUACAGUCAGAAGCUUAUUUUAGCACACACCUGAAGAAGGGCCUCCUUGGCAUGGCAAGGGUAGAGAAUUUCAGUCCAGAUCUUUAAAUGUUCCUAUGUUCUCUCACCCAUUCCACAAAUUAUUCAUUGAGUAUUUGCUAUGUGUUAAGCAUUGUGUAUGGACUGAGGAAUACAAGCCCAUAAAACAGACACAGUCCAGACUCAAAACUAUCCUACUACAACUUAUAAGACUUCUUGCUGGGUGUGGUGACUCACACCUAUAAUCCUAGCACUUUGGGAGGUCAAGGCAGGCAGACUGCUUGAGCCCAGGAGUUUGAGACUAGCCUGGGCAACAUGGUGAAACCCCAUCUCUAUAAAAAAUACAAAAAUUAGCUGGGUGUGGUGGCACAUGCUUGUAGUCCCAGCUACUUAGGAGGUGAAGUGCGAGGAUAGCUUGAGCCUGGGAGGAUGAGGCUGCCGUGAGCUGCGAUUGCACCCCUGCAGCAGCAUGGGCAACAGAGUGAGACACUGUCUUGAAAAAGAAAAAGAAAAAGAAAAAGAAAAAGAAAAAGAAAAAAGACUUCUUCAUUCACUUGGAUGUCUCUCAAGUAAUCUCCGCCUUCAUUACACCCAAAACUGAACUCCACUCACACUGAGAAACCUAUUUCUAUAGGAUAUCCCAUUUCGACCUUGCCAUCCACACAGUUCUUCAAUGUCCACCCAGUCUUAGGCCUGUCUCUCUUUUCAUUCAUCCAUGCUAGAAGUUUUAAUUAAUAUUUACGUAGAUGACUCCUAAAUUCAUAUUUCCAGCUCAUAUCUCUCCCCUCUAAACUCCAGACAAGAAAAUACAAGUGACUACUUGAACACUUUGUUUAGAUCUAGCAAAGCCACCUCAAACUAACAGGCAGAAAACCAAACUCAUGCCGCCCCUAUCCCUCCUAGUCACACAGCAAGCCCCAACAAAACCUGCUGUUCCAAUGCUAGCUAUUUCAGUGAAGAGCACCACAGUGCAUCACGGUGUGUGAGUCAUGAAGCCUCUCCUCUGCCACACUCUCCAUAUUGAGUUCAGCCCAAGUCCUUGUGAAUUCCAUUUCUCAAAUACUCCCAGAAUCUGUCCACUUCUCUCAAUCCCCACUGUGACCCCUGCCUACCUCUCGGUCUCAUUCUGUCAAAGGCGUGUGAGUCAGAGCAACUCCAUCUUAAAUAGAGCUGGGUAAAAUGAGGCUGAAACCUACUGGGCUGCAUUCCCAGAUGGUUAAGGCAUUUGGAUGAGACGGGAGGUCAACACAAAAUACAGGUCAUAAAGACAUUGCUGAUAAAAGGUUGCAGUAAUGGAGCCAGCUAAAACCCACUGAAACCAAAAUGGCAACAAGAGCGACCUCUGGUCAUCCUCACUGCUACACUCCCACCAGCGCCAUGACAGUUUACAAAUGCCAUGGCAAUAUCAGAAAGUUACCCUAUAUGGUCUAAAAAGGGGAGGCAUGAAUAAUCCACUGUUGUUUAGCAUAUCAUCAAGAAAUAACUAUAAAAAUAGGCAACCAGCAGCUCCCGGGGCUGCUCUGUCUGUGGAGUAGCCAUUCUUUUAUUCCUUUUUUUCUUAAUAAACUUGCUUUCACUUUGCACUGUGGACUUGCCCUGAAUUCUUUCUUGCGUGAGAUCCAAGAACCCUCUCUUGGAGUCUGGAUCAGGACCCCUGUCCUGUAACAUCUUCCUGGAGAUCAUGAAGGGACUAUAGUGAGAAAACCCUGACUCAAUGGCUACCUUUGGGUAAAUGUUGGGGUCCUGUAACAUCUUUCUGGCAAUGACAGAAGUGACUAUACUUCGGAAACCCCUGAUCCAACAAAAGCUAACUUUGGGUAAGUGGUGGGGUCUGGUAACAUCUUUCUCUCGAACCACAAAAGGGACAAUACUGAGGAGACCCUCCGACGCAAAGGAAAUAGACUGGAGCACUGAUUGGACAACUUUGGCUUGGCCCCCAGGGCAAUGGUGCUGCAAGCUGGAUCACUGGGGCCGCUCAGGGAAAGGGAAUCCAGAAGCCUGGCAUGCUGACAAAAGGGUGCAGUGGCUCAUGCCUGUAAUCCUAGCACUUUGGGAGGCCGAGGCAGGUGGAUCACCUGAGGUCAGGAGUUUGAGACGAGCAUGGCCAACGCAUGGUGAAACCCCAUCUUUACUAAAAAAAAAUACAAAAAUUUGCCAGAUAUUGCCUUUUCUCAAAACUCAAGAGUUAUGAAUGGACCUUACCAUACUGAUGCUUUCUCACUGAGCUCCUGUCUACUCUGAAUGCAAGAAACCCUCAUAGUUAGGCAGGAAUAUCAUAAUCGCUAUUCAGCCUGAAGAAGUUAAAGAAGAUGGAUCUUCAUCCCUCUGCAACUCUUACGAUUAAAGAGUUCUCUUAUAAAAGGGGGGGGGGGGGGGACAUGAGAGGUGUGUGAACCAGAGCAACUCCAUCUUAAAUAGGAGCUGGGUAAAAUGAGGCUGAAACCUACCAGGCUGCACUCCCAGACAGUUAAGGCAUUCUAAGUCACAGGAUGAGAUAGCAGGUCAGCACAAAAUAAAGGUCAUAACAACCUUACUGACAAAACAGGUUGCAGUAAAGGAGCCAGCCAAAACACACCCAAACCAAAAUGGCAACAAGAGUGACCUCUGGUCAUCCUCACUGCUACACUCCCACCAGUGCCAUGACAGUUUACAAAUGCCAUGGCAACAUCAGGAAGUAACCCUAUAUGGUCUAAAAAGGGGAGGCAUUAAUAAUCCACCCCUUGUUUAGCAUAUCAGCAAGAAAUAACCAUAAAAAUGGGCAACCAGCAGCCCCAAAGGGUUGGCUAUGGAACAGCCAUUCUUUCAUUUCUUUACUUUCUUAACAAACUUGCUUUCAUUUUGCACUGUGGGAUCACCCUGAAUUCUUUCUUGCAUGAGAUCCAAAAACCCUCUUGGGGUCUGGAUCAAGACCCCUGUCCUGUAACAAUCCCACUCUGUUCUCCCUGUUCUUUGUGCUCCAGUCACACUGACCUUCUUUUGUUCCCUGACCACAACAUGCUUCCUCCAGCAAUAAGGUGGCUGCCACACUGCUCCAUCUGCUGGGACCCUCCCCUGCCCCAAUGCCUCCUGUAUCACUUUCUUGGGGAAUUUCUCCCUGACUUCCAGGCAAAGCUCUCAUAAACAGUGUUCCUUUCCUUCAGAGCACUUAAUUCAGUUUUAAAGCAAACAUUAUUUAGUUUAACUAUCUGAAUUAAUUAUUUUAGUUAUUUGCCCACUUCCUUCAAUAGACUGUGGAAUUCCUGAAAGCGAGACCAUGCCUGGCUCUACUCACCACUGUAUACCCAGCAAAAUGCCUGGUAUAUAGCAAACACUCAAUAAAUAUUUGUUGAAUGCAUGAAUGAAUAGAAAUGAUAAGUGAAAUGAGCCAGUUACAAAGUGCUUUUACCCUUGAUAAUUUCUUCUUCCCCAACAAACUGUGCAUUUUUUAGUGCAGUGAUCACAUUUCUCUUGUUCUCCAUUUUAUCCUGAAUACUUAGGGUCUGAAACUCCAAAAACAUUUAUUAAAUGAAGGAAUGAAGGACUUAAGCUUCUGAGAUUAAGCAGAAUGCCAAGAGGAGAAGAAUGAGAAAAGCAUUUCUGACUACAGAAAUAGCAAAAGCACUUAUGGUAUUGAUGUUAAAAAGCUGCCAGUAAAAGAAUGUGAUGCCUUAGGAUAUAUGGGAGCACAGCUGGGAGUCAGAAUAGGAAGGGCCACUUCAGCUGUACUGUUUAGGUGAGUAGUUCUCAUGAUGACUCUAAGAAAUAUAAAGCAGAAGCAGCAACCCAGAAAUGGGAGAAGACACAGGUGGGCAUGCAGAUGGUAAAAAAGGGGACUAUCAAGAACAUACUGAAGAGUUCAAAUAACGAAGUUGUCUGGAAAUACAUAAUGUCAGGUCAAACACUGCCAAAUACUGUCCUAAGUCCACAGGGCAUCAGAAUAUCAUAGCAUAGUAAAAUUACUUGAGUCAUCAAAAAAGGACUAAAUUACACUACUACUGCUGAACUACUUACUAAUAUUGGUUGUGGUAGUAGCUGGCUGCGGUUACAGUAGUUAGGAGGAGCAGAAAUGAACAUUUAUUGAGCACUUGCUAUGUAUUUUCUCAUUUUAUUUUCAUUACUACCCUGUUAGAUAGUUUCCACCCUCAUUUUAUACAUGAGAAAAUCAUACUACAUGGGGCUUAAGUAAUUCAUUUAAAAUCAUCCUGCUAGUAGGCGUUAACACCAGAAUUAAAACCCAGCCUGUAGCUGUGAAUCUCACACUUUCAGCCACUAUGUUAUAUUCUGAUUAAGAAAGUACAGAAAGAUGUUAACACAAUUUAGAGAGCUCCUAUGAAGAAUAACUCAAAUGAAGUUUGGCCAGGCAUGGUGGCUCAGGCCUAUGAUUCUAGUACUUUGGGAGACUGAGGCAGGAUGAUUGCUUUAAGCCAGGAAUUCAAGACCACCCAAGGCAACAAAGCUCUUGCAAAAAAUUUGUGCCACUACAAAAAAUUUUAAAAAUUAGCCAAGUGUAGGGACAUGCACCUGUAGUUCUAGCUACUUGGGAGGCAAAGGUGGGAGGAUUACUUGAGCCCAGGAGUUCAAGGCUGCAGUGAACUGUAAUUGCACAACCGCACUCCAACCUGAGCAACAGAGUCUUAAAAUAAAUGAAUAAAAUGUGAUGCUUGAUGAGAUAAGCCCUCAAAUAGCUACAAAACCCACCAACUUUCCCUAAGCAGUCUAGAUGGCUGAGGUCCUAUCAAAAUGAUGCUAAUCCAGAGUUAUCUCCAAUGCAUGACUAUACCAUGUAUUGUUACACACUGGACUGUCUAAUGUAUAGUGGCCAUUAAAAAUGGGCAAAAGAUAAGAACAGCUCACCAAAGAAGACAAACGGUAACAAAUAAGCAUAUGAAGAUGCUCAACAUGAUGUAAUUAGGGAAUUACAAAUUAAAACAACGACAUACCACUACACACCUAUUAAAACAGCUAAAAUUGAAAAUACUGAUAAAAACCAAAUGCUGGUGAGGAUUUGGAGCAACAACUCUCAUUCCUCACUGGUGGGAAUGCCAAAUGGUAUGACCACUUUGGAAGACAGUUUGGCAGUGUCUUAUAUCAUAGGCUUACCAUACAAUUUGUCAAUCACACUCCUACAUAUUUGCCCAAAUGAGCUGAAAACUUACAUCCACAUAAAAAUCUGCACAUGAAUACUUACAGUGCCUUUAUUCAUAAUUCCCAAAAAUUAGAAGCAACCAAGAUAUCUUUCAAUAGAUGAAUGAAUAAAUGAACUGUGGUAAAUCCAUGCAGUCCAUUACUUAACAACAGUGAGAAAUAAGUGUAUCACACAAAGGAUGCUUAAAUGCAUACUGCUAAGUGAAAAAAGCUAGUCUGAAAAGGCUACAUAUGGUAUGAUUCCAACUAGAUGGCGUUCUGUAAAAUGCAAUACUACAGAGACAGAAAAAAGGCCAGUGGUUGCCAGCAGUGGUGGGUAGGGUUGAAUAGAUGGAGCACAGGACAUUUUUAGGGCAGUGAAGCCAUUCUGUAUGAUACAACCAUUAGAGCUGCACAAGAGUGAACCCUAAUGUAUAACUGCUGGCUUUUGUUAAUAAUAUUGGUUCAUCAACUUUAACAAAUGUACCACACUAAUGCAAGAUAUUAGUAACAGGAGUAAAAUGAGGGAUUGGAAGGAUAUGUAUGGGAACUCACUGUAUUUUCUGUGCAAAUUUUCUGUAAACCUAAAACUGCUCUAAAAAAUAGUCGAUUAAAAUUUUUUUAAAAAAACGAAGCAUAGCUCUCCCUCUCCCUCUCCCUCUCCCCACGGUCUCCCUCUCCCUCUCCCCACGGUCUCCCUCUCUUUCCACGGUCUCCCUCUGAUGCCCAGCCGAAGCUGGACUGUACUGCUGCCAUCUCAGCUCACUGCAACCUCCCUGCCUGAUUCUCCUGCCUCAGCCUGCAGAGUGCCUGCGACUGCAGGCGCACGCCGCCACACCUGACUGGUUUUUGUAUUUUUUUGGUGGAGACGGGGUUUCGCUGUGUUGGCCGGGCUGGUCUCCAGCUCCUAACCGCGAGUGAUCCGCCAGCCUCGGCCUCCCGAGGUGCUGGGAUUGCAGACGGAGUCUCGUUCACUCAGUGCUCAAUGGUGCCCAGGCUGGAGUGCAGUGGCGUGAUCUCGGCUCGUUACAACCUCCACCUCCCAGCCGCCUGCCUUGGCCUCCCAAAGUGCCGAGAUUGCAGCCUCUGCCGGGCCGCCACCCCGUCUGGGAAGUGAGGAGCGUCUCUGCCUGGCCGCCCAUCGUCUGGGAUGUGAGGAGCCCCUCUGCCUGGCUGCCCAGUCUGGAAAGUGAGGAGCAUCUCUGCCCGGCCGCCAUCCCAUCUAGGAAGUGAGGAGCGCCUCUUCCCGGCCGCCAUCCCAUCUAGGAAGUGAGGAGCGUCUCUGCCCGGCCGCCCAUCGUCUGAGAUGUGGGGAGCGCCUCUGCCCUGCCGCCCCGUCCGGGAUGUGAGGAGCGUCUCUGCCCGGCUGCCCCGUCUGAGAAAUGAGGAGACCCUCUGCCUGGCAACCGCCCCGUCUGAGAAGUGAGGAGCCCCUCCACCCAGCAGCCGUCCCGUCUGAGAAGUGAGGAGCCCCUCCGCCCGGCAGCCACCCCGUCUGGUAAGUGAGGAGCGUCUCCGCCCGGCAGCCACCCCGUCCGGGAGGGAGGUGGGGGGUCAGCCCCCCGCCUGGCCAGCCUCCCCGUCCGGGAGGGAGGUGGGGGGAUCAGCCCCCCGCCCAGCCAGCCGCCCCGUCUGGGAGGUGAGGGGCACCUCUGCCAGGCCACCCCUACUGGGAAGUGAGGAGCCCCUCUGCCUGGCCGGCCGCCCCGUCCAGGAGGGAGGUGGGGGGGUCAGCCCCCCGCCCUGCCAGCCGCCCCGUCCGGGAGGGAGGUGG